UCAUAUCUGAUACCAAAUUUAGUAGCCAAUUCAACUCUUCCUCUGUACCCUCCUUUCAGAGCCUAAUCCCAAAACCAAAUUAAUCAAAGCCAAUAUAUUAUUAUUUGCCAAUUCCAAAUAUACCCUUUUGAAAUUAAAGGAAGGAAAUAGAAGAUAAAUUAUAUUACCUUGCCCAGAAGGAUUUCAUUUGUGUGAGGUCCGUAAGAAUCGGAAGUGUCAAGUAAAGUGAUGCCACUGUCAAUGGCAUGGUGGAUCAAGGCUAUCAUAUCGGAUUCGGGCUUCGGGGGCCCGUAGAAGGCGGACAUGCCCACGCAUCCUAAGCCUUGCGCUGAAACCUCUAGACCUUGUGAACCCAGCUUGAUUCUCUUCACUGCCCCCGCCAUUUCUCUUCUAUUAGCCUCUCAACUUUCUGUUGAGUGAGGUUGCUGUUUCUAAGCGAACAAUCUAUAUAUGUAGAUAUAUUGCUCUGCGGGCCUCUCAAAACUCGUAAUGCUAACGUAAUGGAAUAUGUUAGCAUUUACCUCAUUAACUUUACAAAUCACACAAGAGAGUAGUUAGAUCAAUAAUCGAUACGUCAUAAUGUUAUUUAUUAAUUAUAGGAAAAAUGAUAAACACAACUCCAACAUUUAGAUAAAGGGACAAAAAAAAGUAAUUUUUUUUUUUUUUUUUGUGAAGCUUAAGGCCCUAUUUGGUAUUGUUUUCCAAAUGUUGUUUUCUUGAAAUAAAAAUAACAAUGAAAAUGUUAUUUUUAAAUUUUAAAAUAUAUUCAGUAUCAUUUUUGAAUACUUAUCUAGUAUUUUCUGAAUUUAGAAAAUAAAAAAUUAGAUUUGAAAACAAUAUUGUACGCACCCUAAUAUUUUAAUUAUCUCUUUUGAACUAUCUGGCUCUAUAGCAAUUUGUAAGGGAAAUAUUGUCUUUUGAUCAGUCUAUUAUCUUAGAACUAGGGUCUAAGGUCAUAUUUGGUAUUGAAGUAUGUACCUUUUGAGUUACAAUUGUUAUGAAAAAAAUACUGUAACUAUAAAGUAAAAGUUAAUAGUAUGUAAUAAAUAUAAUUUUUAAAUAAUAAUUUUUUAAAAAUGAGUAAAGAUAUAAUAAAUUUUUCAUCAUACAAGUAGAAAAUCAAAUCAAUUUAGUUUUCAAGCUAUACCAACUAGUGUUUAUCAAAUACUUUAAUGCUAUUUUUUUUAUCAAAUACUUUAGUGCUAUUCUUUUUACACUACAACCGUUCAACCUCAAUCCUAAAUAGGACAUAAGUAUGGAAAUUACUCGAUGAAUCAUCUUUUAAGUAUUUGAGUGAGAUAUUGUAGUGAUUUUUUUUUCUAAAUACUUGAAAAUUAAUCUAAUCUGCAAUGAGAUUCUUGCAGACUUCUUGUCGUAACUAUAUUGUCAAUAAUGAUAGUCACAUGCUUACAAUUUUUUUUAUGUGUUUUUUAAAGAAUGGGUAAAAUCCAAAUCAAUUUUUUUCUUAUAAUCUUUGUAAGAUUGGAACUCCAAUAGUCAAUCAAAUGAAACUAAUUAAAAAUUGGUUAAAUCCUUAGGUGGUCAAUCAAGUGCUUACAUGUAAUAACUAAAAUUAUAGAGAACUUAUAAUUACUUUUGUAAGCAACCCAAAGUAUAUUAAGACUAACUUGAAAUUCUAUCACGUCUUAGUAAAUACUCAAAAAAUUUACUUCAUACUGUUGAGAAAAUGAGUAAAAAAAAGCCAUGGAAUUCAAAUAGUGUCCUCAAUAUUAUUGUGAAUACCUGUCAGCAUUGAUUAAUUAGUCCAAUGGCUAUUUUUUUUUUUAGAAGAUAAGCAUGUAUUUGAUAUUAUUUAUGUUUUGCUAUUUUUCAUUUUCCAAGAAAAAAAAAAGUGUAAAAUUUGUUUGGUACACUUAUUUUAUGGUAUUUAAUUUCAAGUAAGAAUGUUUAAUCUCAUUCUCUAACUUUAGAGAAGAAAAUUGGACAACAAGGCAUUCAUGAUUUUCAAUUUUCAUUUUUUAAAUGGGUACUACAAGUACCACUUGAACAACAACAAAAUAAAAAUCAUGUCUGUCAUUAUGUGGGCCCAUUACCAAUAUUUAUUUUAUAAUCCAAUUCUAAUUAUCUUUAAUACUUUUUAAUUAUUUUUUAUUCAACAAUACUAAUUGUAUUAUUUGGUAAUUUUUAAAAGGUUCUCUAUUAGUAAAAUUUAUUUAUUAUUUAUUAUUUAUUCUAAUAUUAAUGAUACUCCCUAAAAAAUCAUUUUAUCUAAUUUUUUAUAAUUAAAAAUUUUAAAUAAUAAAAAGUAAUUGAAAUUUCAAAUAAUAAAAAAUUAAUUGAAAUAUAUUAUGAUUAAAAAUAAUUUUAGUUCAUCUAAAUAUUAUAUCAUAGUAUGUAUUUUUUUCUCACUCUCUUUUACCGUCUUCACUUUUUAAACAACUCAAACAUUUUGAAAUUUUCAUUUUAUAAGUAUAUUUUAGAAAGAAGGCUCAUUCUAUUAUGCCUUGAUUAACGUAACGGUAUCAAUACUGUAAUUAAACAUAAUUUAUGUAAAUAAAAUAUAAAACUUGUAAAUCAAUAUUAAUUGUAAAAUACAUAAAUUUUAGAAAUUAAACAUAAAACUUGUAAAUUGAAGGUAAAAUGAGUAAAUUAAUAUAAAACUCGUAAAUUGAUAUAUUAUUAGUAAAUAAAACAAAAACUUGUAAUAUAACAUAAAACUUGUAAAUUAACAUUAAGUGCAAAAUAAAGCACAAAUGUAAAUGGAGGAUAAAACAAGUAAAUUAAUAUAAAACUAGUAAAUUAAUGUAUUACUAGUAAACAAAACAAAAACUUGUAAAUAUAACUUAAAGCUAGUAAAUCAACAUUAACAAUAAAAUAAAGGGUCACCCUAUGUUAUGUUGAGUGUAACAUACACACACUCACAGCAACAGUAACAAGUCUCAUCAUUAACAUUGUUGCUGUGAGUGUGUGUAUGUUACACUCAACAUAACAUAGCAGUGGCCUAAAAUAAAACAAAAAUUUUAGAAAUGAAGUAUAAGACUUGUAAAAGGAAAGUAAAAACAAGUAAAUUACUAUAAAAUUAGUAAAUUUAUGUAUCAUUAGUAAGUAAAACGAAAACAUACAAAUAUAAUAUAAACCAAGUAAAUCAAUAUUAAGUGCAAAAUAAAACAUAAAAUUUGUAAACCAUGCUCAAAACUUAUGAAUAAAAGGUAAAAUAAGUAAAUUAAUCUAAGAGUUACUAACAAAAAAGCUCUUAUAAACUAAAAACUCAUUAUAAUAUUUAUUACCUUAUAUAUUUAAUGAUUUUUUUAAAUUAAAUUGCAUAAUGCUAGUUUUGCAUUUAUGUAGUACAUGUGAUGUUUUAUUAAGGAUGAAAUUUAUUCGCAGAAUUGGAUUUUGAAAAAAAAAACUAUUUUAAUAUCUUUCAUAGUUGUUGUAACAUGAGGUUAUUUUGCAUCCUUCUACACUUCUGCAACAACAACCCUAAAUGGUCUCUUAAGUACAAGUAAAAAGUUUGAAACUACAUGAAGCAUACAUAGAACUCAAAAUUAGAUAUAAUUUUAUUGAUAUAUCAUAUAUGUGUCUAGUAAUAUGAGAAUAAUUAUUUAUUUAUUUAUUCAUUUGCUUGAUCCACGUCUAGAUAAAUAAUUGCACUUAAUUAACUUGUGUAAUAAACAGAUAUCAUUAUAGAAAAUGGGAAAAAUUAUACAAAUGUCAUUAAAUAAAUAUAGAAUUUAUGGUUAAACCAAUUCAAUAAAAUAUAUUUCACUUUUUUUGUACAAUUUUUGUUUAAUUAAUGAGUAAUUUUUUCUUUAUAUUUUUGUAAAUGAAUACAAUAUUUUUCACUAAAAUUGUGCAGAAGCAAUGUUAAUUUUUUAAAUAAUUAAUAAUCUUGUAUGAAGUUACUUGUUUUACUUUAUAUUUACUAAUUUUAUAUGAAACUAGUAAAUAUAAAGUAAAGCAAGGAAAUUCAUACAAGAUUAUUAAUUAUUUAAAAAAUUAUAAAAACAUUAUUUGAAUGGCAAUACCAAUUGCACCCUAGUCCGUACAAUUUUACGUCAUUCAAUGUUGAUAACGUGGCUGGCACAAAGGCCAAAUCAAAGGCUGAGCGGGCAUCACAUGGGCCUUUGCCUGGAUCCUAACCUUCGCAAGCAAAGGCCCACGAUUCUAUCACCCAUUAAUCCUUCUAGAGAAUCUGCUAUAGAUGUAAAUGGACCCUCACUAUCUUUUUCACUGUUUUGAUUUUUCAAAAUUCCUUUUUUUUUAUUAAGUUUAAUGCAUUUUAUUAUCUCCCUGAAACUAUUUGGCUAUGGUAAUUGGCAAGGGGAAAAUUAUCUUUUAAACAUUCUAUUACCUUAAGACUACGGUCAAGUAUUGGAAACAUGGUGAAUCAUUUUUUAGGGAUUUCAGUCAACUUAUAAACAUUAUAGAGAUUGAUUUUUUUUUGCGAAAUAUGCGAAAAUAAAUGCAGCGCUACGAGGUUCUUGUAAACUAUUAAAUUCAAAUCAAUAAAAGUAGCAAUAAUAGCGUAAGUCCAGAAUCUAUCAUAUAUCAAUACCACUCUCAUACAGUUGUUGUUAAAUCAGGCCUAAAAAAUAUUUUUUUUUCUUUAAUUUAAUAAAAUUAUCAAAAGUCAGAUUUUUUUUUCUUGAUUACAUAAAAAUGCAUAAAAGUAGAGAAACACCUUAAAUUUCCUACUGAAGAUUUGAAGACAACUACUUUAAUUUUUUCCACUACCAUUAUUGGGAUCUGUAGGAUAUGGUUGUAGUUUUCUCGUCUAUCAUCAAUAGUCUCCCUCGCACAUGAGGGCAUAUAGAGAACUAUAAUUCCCAUUUCCUCUUCUUUAUAUAGGCACUUAUUAAAGUCAAGAUAUAACUAGAAACUAAGCUAACAAAGGGUAUCCAUGAACUUCCUAAAUCCAACUUCAUAGUUAAGUCUCAGUCAUAUUAUGACUCCCUAAAACAACUAAGUUAACCUUAAGCUAUUCUACUAAAAGUCUGAUGUCGCACUCUAAUGAACCAUGUAACAAAUAAAAGCCUAAUUAAUUAAGACUUCUUUUAAUUAAUAUUAGACAUGAUUUUAAACCAAUAAUUACCACUUAAUUGACUCUUUAUUUGAUCAUCUUAAUUAAAUCCAGCCCAUGAUAAAUUUUCUUUCUUUGUAAUUACAUAUAUAUCCCUUAGUCACAAUUUAUUCUAACUAUCACUGUUAAUAUAUUUGUAAAUAGAUUACAAAUAAAUGUGAUUAAUUAAUAAAUAAAUUAUUGAAUAAAUUAUAACCACAGAUUUAAAUGAUCAAUAUAGGGAUGGCAAAAUGCAAGCUUAGACUAGGCUUUUUCAAGCCCGUUAGAGGGAAAGUAUAAGGGCUAAGCUUGGGCCGGGGUUGGGUUGGGUUGGGUUGGGUUGGGCUUUCACUUAUUUUUUUCAUUUUUUAAAAAAAUUGUUAAAAACUUGAAAUGAAUUAAUAGUCAAUGAGUUGUUAUAAUCGGCAACGAAAUAAAGAAAAUGAAUGUUUCAAAAUAAAAUAAUAAAUAAAGAAAACACAACAAAAAAAAGUGUAGAGAUUUAAAUUUUUUAAUACUAGAUUUUUUAAUUCAAGUAUCUUCUUAAUUAAUUAACAUUUAAAAGAGAGUUUAUUAUUAUAAUUUUAGAUUUUUUGAUUCAUUAUUGAUAUAUAAAUUAGGGACUUAAGCUUUCUUUCUUUUUUCCAUUAUUUCAUAAAAGUUUAAUUUAUUAUUCAAAUUUCUAAUUUAUUUUUUGAAAAAAAAAUAGAGGGCGUGUGCCUAGAUUUUUUUUUACUUAAGCCCUUAUCCAGACCGUUCAUAUGGAGGCAUGAGCCAAAUCUCAUAGCAAUGGGCCGGGCUCAUCCCUAUGAUCAAAUACUACAAAUAGCUUAGGUAAGCAUCAUUUGUAUAGAUUCCAUCUUGUAAGUAUAUAUAUUUCUAUAAUCCAUGAAAUUAUAUCUCCAAAUUAUUAACGUUUUGACCGUUUAUACAAAUCUUACUUUGUGACGACUCAAAAGACAUAAUACCUGAAUGUGCGCUAGACUCCUUUACCCUUUAUUAGCGUUAUAUUACCCACUCAGAAUUAAGAUCGAUCAAGCUUAUUAAAGCUUGUAUAGAUUAUGAUUAGCAACAUAUGUUAGAUUAGAUCAUAAUUCAUUACAAUCUUGUUCAUUACAUAUAUAUCUCAUAUACAUACUAAUUUUUCUACUUGAAGUCUCUACUUCAGUAAUUAAGAUAAAGUUACUUAACAAUAAAAAUACAAAAUAUACAGCCUUAUAAAAAUAAAAUGACAUUUCAUUAAUGGAUGUGAAUAAUCUUUUAUUUUUAAAGAAUUUGUGAUUUUUAUCUUCUAUCUUGACAUCAUAUGUCCAAUAUAUAAAUCAAAUACUUUAUAAAUAAGGGCUAAUAAUGUAUGCUCAAAUAAAUAAUAAAUAAAUAAAUUUUAAUAAAUUCAGAAAUUUUUAUUUUAUUGCAUGCUGUAAGAGUACAAAAUAAUAAUGUACAAAAUAAUAAUAAGUGUACUAGUAAUUAUAUUGUCAAUAAUGAUACUCAAAUACUUAUAACUUUUUUUUUGUGUUUUUUUAAAAGUAAAGGGUGGUAAUACCAAAUCAGUUUUUUCGCAUCUAACCUUUGAGGAUUCGAACUCUAAUUACCAAACAAAUAAAACUACAUGGAAAUCAGCUAAGCCUAGGGCGGCCAAUCAAAUGCUUACAUGUACUAAGCAAAACAAAAGAGAACUUAUAAUUACUUUUGUAAACAACAAAAAGUAUAUUGAGACUGUUUAAAAAUCUAUUACGCCCUAGUAAAUACUCUAGAGUCUACUCCAUAUUAUUGAGGAAAAUGAUUGAAAAGAAAAAAAAUGGAAUUCAAAUUAUUAUCCUCGGUAUUAUUGAGAACAACUGUUACCAUUGAUCUACCAGCCCAAUAGCUAUUAUUAUUAGUUUUAUAUUAUAAUUCUCUACUGAAAAAUACAAUAUUAUCUCAUUUAGUGUUGAUGUAUGUGGCACAAAAACCAAAUCAAAGGCUACGCCACCUUCACCGGGGCCCUUGCCCAGGUCCCACCCACCACAACAAAAGGCCCGCAAAAAAUUGUUUAUAUUAUAUAUUUAUUGGGUAGUGAAUGGUGAUAUUUUUUAUUUCUUAAAAUACUAAUUAGAGACCAGGUUUGCCCAUACUCGCAUGUGUAAGAGAGAAUCCAUUAUUGAGAAGAAAUUAUCAGUUGGAUUUAGGAGGAGUUAUUUAUGAACAAUAAACUUUUGGCCAAAUAAUCCAAAUAUCAAACAAAUUUGAGGGAAUGCAAAGUGUAGACGAGUAAAAAUUCAAUAAAUGACUAAAGAUUCAAGAAAACAUGAGUAUUAUAAAACUGAUUAAAUUCAUAUUGAGUUUGAAGAUGGAAUAAAACACCAGUAUAAUUGUUUUCAAAUAAUCAUAUGUCUAUAAUUGUAAUUUAUGUUAUUGAUAUUUUAGUAACAAUUAAGUUUAUUAAAAUGUGAGUUUAAUGAGUAACCUAGAGGGUUAAUUAGCCUCAACCUUUAAAAGGUGUCAAAAGGCUACUCUUUGUAUAAUAUAAUAUACUCCACUUAAACUAACCCACUUAAUACUAAAAAUUAACCUUGUAAUGUUUUCUGAAUUAUUUUAGUGUUCAAUAUCAACAAUCAUGAUGUUUUUGAAUGAAACAUACAAAAUGUUUAUAAUGUAAAAAAGAAAUUAGGGUUAUAUGAUGUAAGAAAUUGUUGAACUAAUACAUGUAUAGAUGUAAAUAGGGUAGCAAAAUGAAUUCAUGAAUUAGGUUAAAAGUCGGUAAAUUCAAUAUAAUGAAUUGGGUUAGAAGUUUGAAACUCCAAAGUUUCUAACUUCGAUGUUUAAAUUACAAAUUCAUUAACAAUAGAAUAAACUAACCAUCCUAACUCUAAAAUUUCAACCGAACCAGUGAGCUUAAAUCCACAUUCAUAUUUUGAAUUAGGGUCCAGCUACAAUAAAAAUAUUGUUUCAUACACUAUUUUUUGUCUUUUUGUGAUCCAACCAUUGGAUUCAACUCAAGAGUUGCAAAAGCUAUUCCAACGGCAUGGAUGGACUUGCUUGGUUAUUAACGAUGCAGUCCCUUCUGUUUACUAAAAAAAAUAAGGAAAGAUUAAAUUUCAAAAUUUGACACAUUAGUCCAGUAAAAUAUUUUAUUGUAAAUGAACACAUUUAUAUAUUAAAAAUAUGGAUGGAUUAUUUUAAUUUGCUAAAACACUCUCCACUUCCAUUUACUUAAAAUACCAAUUGGAUUAUAAUAAUAUUAUCUUGUUUUUUGUGUAAUACAAUAUUGGAUAAGGUUUUAUAAAAUUUUUGACAAUAUCAAAAUGAAAAAUAAAUAAAUAUUAAAUAAAUACUUGGAUAGUCAUUUAAAUUUCAUUAUGGAGUUUAUAAAUAAUAUUUUCAAAAUAAUAAAUUUCUAUAUGUAAAUUUGAAAUUAUGUAAAAUUAUUUAUUCCUUAUUACACGUAUGAAGCUGAUUAAUUAUUUAUUUAAUGUGAAAACAAAUGCAUUGUAUAAUAUUUAUUCUAUUACUUAAAUUUAAAAUUAUAAAGAAUGAAACUUAAAUUUAAAAUUGUAAAGAAUGAAUAAUAACUUAAAUUAAUAGAUUAUGGGAGGAUACCUUUCAAAAAAAUUAAAAUUAACAAACUUUUUAGGCUUCUAACGUAACAUUUUUAAUUUUUGUUGUUAACAUAAGACAAAAAUUAAGUCUAAAAACCUCAUUCUAGGGUCUCCUUAGGGUAAAAAAAAAAAUCAUUAUCACAUGAUAAUUUGGUAGCCUAAGUUGUAUUAUUUUUAGUUUACUUAUUCAUGCCAAACACCUUAUUGAGAUUAAAUUUUAGUAAAGUAAACCCAUCCCACCAUCUUUAAUCACAUUCAAUAGGCCCUAAUUGAUUAGAUCUUGUUAUAUAAAGUAAUAUAUAACUCUUUCUUUAUUACAAUGGUAAAGAAAAAAAAACAUAAACACAAUAUAUUUCUUUUGAGAAAAUGCAAGUAUUAUGUUUUUUAGGUUUUGUGUUUAAGAAAUUAAUCUAAUUUAUGUAGUUAGAAGACUCUUAUUUUUUAUGUUUUAGAAGAAUUAUAUGUUUGAUAAUGAAUAAAUUAAGAUUUAAAGUAGGAAAACUAAUUUGAGAAGGAGAUAGAGAGAAUAAAUUUUUUAGAAUUUGAAAAUUAUUAUAUUUUAAUUGGGGCUUAUUACAUAAAAUUAUUAAAACAUAUGGUUUUUAUUAUUUAUAGAAAACAAUAGGGAUUGCUAAAGAAAACACUAAAUAAUUAUUUUAAUUUGAAAUUAUUAUAUUUUAAUUGGGGCUUAUUGCAUAAAAUUUUUAAAAUUUAUAGUUUUUAUUAUUUACAGAAAACUAUAGGGACUGUUAAAGAAAAUACCAAAUUUGAGGGUUUGGUACAACGGUUGCAAAGUAGUUUUGUCCUGAACUAGUGAGACUUUUUUUUUGGCAUAAUUAUAUUUAUUGUAUCAUUCAAUAAAUGGAUCUUAAAAAAAUAAACAAAUCAGUGGGACAUUCAAUUUGUUCACUUAACAAAUUCAAUCAAAAUUGUCCAUUUAUUAGACGAAUUAAUUUUUCAAACCUAAAUGCUUUUAAUUCAAAUAGAAUCAAUAAAUCCUUAUCUAUAUUAUUACCCCUAGAUGUAAACCCUUUUUAUGAGAAAAAAAAGGGUGUUUAUAUGAUAGAAGAAACUAUUGAAUUGUAUUUUUAAAUAUGUUAUAUAUUAUUGAUUUAUCUGUCAUUUUACUCUAGAGUGAAAUUGUAGCAAUAAAAAAUUGAGUAAAAUCUUUAAAUUUAUAUUUUUCAUGACUCACCGUAGAUUCUGGUAUUUCAUAGAUUAAUUCUUUAUUGGCUUAAAAAAAAUCCUACCCAAACUUAAAAAAUUAAGCUAAUAUAGACAUAACAUAAAAAUAAAUAAAUAUGAUAUAUAAUACAGAAUUUUGUAAAUUAUUUUUAAUGUUAAAUACAAGUAUUUUAAUAUUAUUGAUCUGCAAAAUAGAUUUUAUUAAAUUAAAACAUAUAUGAUAGAUUAAUAAUAUUAAAUUAAUUUUUUUAUUCAAAAUAAUUUAUAAAAUAUAUAACAAUUAUAUAUUAUAUUAUUUUAAUAUUAUAUUUUGUAUCUAUCUAUCAUAGAAGUUUAUUUAAAAUCAAUUUUUGGAUUGUUAAAAUCGAUGUGUAUAAUCAUCAAAAAACAUUUGUGUGAUUAUUUAUUAAACCAAGGAGGUCUAUAGCAACAUUUAUGUUCCCAAGGGGGUAUAUAUGCUUUUUUUCCCUGAUUUUUAGAUGAAUUAAUUCUUAAAUGUAUCUAUUUAUCAUUUACUGCAAAGAAGGUGAUCAAAUUAACCAUAAAAAAUACGCAAUGAAAUGUGUGAAAUGCCUGAAAGGCAAUAGGAACUGUGAAAAAUAUUUUUACGGAUUGGACUAGGCAAUGCGGGCCAAUAAUAUCUAGUCCAAAGAUGAGGCUGGGCCAAGUUUAAGUUUCACUUGAUAAAUUUAGAUUCGUCCAAAAACCUGAAUUUUAUGAAAAAAUAUUAUAAAAUACAUUAUUUUAAAUAACUAUAUUUAUUUGACCCAUAGAUUAUACAUAUUUAAAAUUUUAAAUAUUUAAAGUUCAUAUUUGAAAACCCAAAUUCAUUAAAUAAAAUUUAAAAAUCAUAAAACUAAAAUAGGUCCCUACAGCGCAACCCGCUUAGGUCGAAAGCCAUCCCAGCCUGGGCCAUUUGGGUCUUUGCAUUAACCUCAAAAGGAUAAAAAGUGCAUGAGGUAUAGGUGGGGGUGUUCGCGGAUCGGAUUUUACGAAUUGGACAUCAAUCCAUAUCCGAUCCAUGAUUUUGCGGAUUAUAAUUUUUUAAUCCAAUCCAAUCCAUAAAUUGAUAAAAUUCAAUCAAAAUCCAAUCCAUACAUCUGCGGAUCGGAUGCGGAUUUGACUCAAUCCAUAUCCAAUCCAUACGUCUGCGGAUCGGAUGCGGAUUUGACUCAAUCCAUAUCCAAUCCAUUUUGCGCAUUAGUUUUCGAAUUAAAAUUUUUUAGUUCUCUCCAACUAAUGAAAUAAAAAAAAAUCUAAUAUAAAAAUAAUUUUGCUACCAAUUAAAUUUAAAAUUGAAUAAAAUUUAAAUAAAUUAAUUAUUUAAAUAGAGUUAAAAUAAUACAUUUAAAGUUUCAAAAUAUAACAAUCGAGACUAAUUAUUUAAAUAAAGCUACAAUAAUACGUUCAAAGUUUCAAAAUAUAACACACCAAGCUUAAUUGUUCAAAUAAAGUUACAAUAAUACGUUAAUAUAACACCGAAAUUAAUUGUUCAAAUAAAGCCACAAUUAAUUGAAAUGGCGAAGUUUUGGAAACCAAACACGGUCUGAUCCUUCACUAGGGUUGUUGCGCCUGUUGAAAAGUGGUGAUUACUGAGCCGUCCACGAUGGGAACCAGGAGAAGCCGUACGGGUGGCGAUCUUGAAGGUUGUGAUAGUGAAAUUGUUCAGCUGGAACCAGUGAAUGUGAAGUGGCUCGAUGGACUUGGGAAAGAAGAUGGCUUGCUCUCACUGGGAUCGCACGGCCGAUGUCCUUCAAAUCCGUGUCGAGAGUGUAUCCAACCAGUAUUGAGUGUUGUUAGUGUGCGUGACGACGGAGAAGCUUAGGGUUUUUUGUUUGCAAAUUGUUGGUGACUUGACAACAUGUUAUUUUACUUUUGGGUGACUUUGCAAAUUGUUGGUGACUUGACGUUAUGUUACUUUACUUUUGUUAGUGCGUGUGACUUUGCUUUUAUUUUGUUUUACAAUUUUUACACGUUAUAUUUGUAUAUUUGAUUAUUUAAUUAUUUUUUAUUUUUUAUUAUUAUUGGGUAAUGGCUAAGAUAUGUUAUAGUGCUUAUGUAACUAUGUAAUGUCACAUUUAUAAUUUUUUUAAUUAAAUUUAUAAUAAUUUUUUAAUUAUCUAUAUAUAUAUAUAUAUAUAUAUAUUAUUUUAUUUUUUUUGUGCGGAUUCACGGAUUUUUACAGAUUUACAGAAGUAAAUUCAUAUCCAAUCCAUCAAUCCACGGAUCGGAUUUAUACGAAUCGGAUUGAGUGGAUCAGACGGAUUGAGUGGAUCGGAUUGGAUUCUGAACACCUCCAGGUAUAGGUUUUAACCGAAAGAACUUCUUGCGCAAUUCAUGCGUUUCUGCUUUUAUGACCAGAAAUUGUUUCUUGAUUUGAUUUCCAUUUCAAAUUGUUCUCUGGACUUUUUAUCAAUAUGAGGUGAUUGCAAAUAAACAUAUAUAAUAUUAUAAAAUAUAAAUCUGGAUUUUUUAAGCCCAUAAAAGAAAGUCCAUUUGGGGCCGAGAUUUUAGGCUCAACCUCAGUGUUCAAAAAAACAUGCUUGGGCCAAAUUUGAGUAUUGCCAUAUCCGGGACCGACUUGAGUUUUUACCAUGACUAAGCAUAAUCAAUUGGUUCAAAUAAUUUAAUUUCCGGUAAAAUGAUGUGAAAAAUUGUGAAUCAAUUUGGUAAUCUCGUAGAGGCCACUUUGUAACACAGUAAAAGUAUUCAAUUGAUCUGAAAUCAUUGAAUAAUUUUUUGUUGAGGAAGGAUGUCACGUACAACAACAAGAAACAUAUAAUGCUACAAUAAAUUUAGAUCAGCAAUAAUGUUUAGGAUCCUAACAUUUGAGUCUCAACUUGACUCUCAAUGAUAUGUGUCACUCAUCAAUUGAAUAAUGGAUAUAAUAUCUAGUAAAAUUAUUUAACCACCAUUCAAUAGAUGAAUUCCACGUCAGUAGGAACUCAAAUUAAGACUUAUGUUGGGACAUCUAGCAUUGCUCUUCACAUCAGUGGUGAGGCUCCAAGUGGGUUGGGAAAUUUUUAGAAAAUUUACAAAAAUAUCAUAAUGCAAAGUUUAUAAAAUUGCCACUAUUUUAUUUACAGUAGUACCACUCUAUUAAUUUACAAUUUUGUCAUUCAAAUAAAUAUACAGAAAAAAGGGAGCAUUUACUUCAUUCAAGAUUCCAGAACGUGCUUUCUUUCUUGGCUUCUUCAGUUCUUCGUCUUCUUCUUGACAAGAAUAGAUAAUACAUUUAUUGUUUAUUCAAUCAUUUACAGUACACUUAUUAAUUGUUAGGUAGUAAAGACUAAAGAUUAUAUUAUUUAAUUCUUGUUCCAAUUUCAUUGUGUAAAAUUAAAUUAUUGUUGGGUCAAAUGAAGAUAAUUUAGCCAUUAAAUUCUAGCAUUCAAAAAUUUAAAUUAAUUAUUGAUAGAGAUGGAUCAUAGAUUCAAUUCAGUACAUUAUACAUAAAGUUAAUUUGUUAAUUGAAUUUAUUGUUUGGCUUCUGGAUAGUGUUAAUGUGUCGUAGUGACAGAUUGACGGUUCUAUGACUUUUAUUAGUAAAUUUGUGAUUAUUUCUUCUAACUUCUUUUAUAUUUAUACCAUGUUUUGACUGAAACACCCAAACGAGCAUAGACACGACUUCAAAAUAAGGAAGAGAAUGAAUUUUUAUCAAAUUGUAUAGUUAUCUACGUUAAAAGAGAAUUUGUAAACACCGUUAAUUUAAAUUCGAUAAUAGAUGGAUUUAAUUCUCGAAAGUAUGGUAAAUUACUUCUUAGACAUGAUAUAUUUUCUUAUGUAUAACAAAAUUUUCUUUCAAAUUUAUAUUUUUAACCAAGAUAAUAUUUGGAUUUGGAAAAAAUUUAGCCUACCCAAGAUAUUUUUUCUGGCUUCGCCCCUGAUUCAGAUCAUCUAAACUUCCAGAAAUUUCAGAUAAAUAUUACUCCAUUUUGAUUUGUUAUUGUUUCUCAUAUAUUUGCAUAAACACAUUACAUUGUUUUUGCGCUCACUGCAGAAGAUACAAUGAUUUAGUUUUACUUACAACACUGCAUAGGAACUCAAUACAAUAUUCACUAAAUGCUUGUGGAAAGUGCAGAAAGGUACUGAUAGGGUCUCGUAUGAGAACACAAUGAUUUUACCCACAACAGAACCUAGGAACUACAUGCAAUUGCAAAAUCGGUACUAAGAAGCAGAAUACCAAUGCCCUUUAUGAAGGUUUCCACGAAGACAGAGGUGGAGUUUCAGAGUCUUCGUAGGUAGGAGUGACACCCCCAUACCGAUGACCCCUUACAGCAUCUGCUGAAGCAAUAGAUUCAAGCUCAGCCAUUUCUUCUGGAGAAAGUUUCACUGACAGAGCUUUAAUAUUUUGAUUGAGGUUUUCAAUCUUGGUGGUUCCAGGAAUCGGACACACGUCAUUUCCUUGGUGAUGAACCCAUGCUAAUGCAAGCUGAGAUGGGGUGCAUCCUUUCUUUACUGCUAUUUCAUUAACACGUUCAAAUAGCUUUUUGUUAUGCUCUAAAUUUUCAGGUUGGAACCUCGGUAGAUGCUGCAAGAUUUAGAAAACAGCUCAGUACCAAAACUGAACUGCAAUUGAAUCAUUAAAAAAAAGAACAUCAUUUUGGAUAAGAGUAAUGAUACAGCCACAAACUCUUGUACAAACUUAUUUUGUACAAACUGAUGUGGCAUGAUAAGAUUGGUUGAAUUAAAUAUCACUUGGCCCACAUGAUUUAUUUUUAUUAAUUUAUAUUUUCAUUCAACCAAUCUUAUCAUGCCACGUCAGUUUGUACAAAAUAAAUUUGUACAAGAGUUUGUGGCUGUAUCAUUACUCUUUGGAUAAAGCAUGAUUUUAGAGGAGGUUUAUGUAAAAUUCAAUAGACCAGAAAACAAAGAAAAAGGACUAGUCGGGGACUUCUCCUAGGUGGAGGAUGUUUAUAGUAAAACAUUUUGGCAUGUUAGACAAAGGUCUCACAAGAAAUAAACUCUCCUUGGACUUGUCAAUUGAUUUCACAUUGACGUGCAUAGGCAAAGCAAUAUAACAAAAAUGGAAACUGCCACAAGGAUGUAGAAGUUUGGAAGAGUCAUUACAGCUAAACUUCUUGAGCAUCCAGUAAUAGUUUUGAGGUAAUGGAACAAUUUUUUUCCCUCAUUUUUUUUUUCACCUCUAUACAACUUAAGGGGUAUUAUCAUGUAUAUAAAUUGAAUCAGUCAUGUUAAAAUUUUCUGUCCAUCAAUGAAGUAAUUGCAUAGAUAAUUCCUCAUAUUUUCAAUGCAAAGAAAGCUUUUGCUCAUAUUUGAGGAGGUUAAUGAACAUAAUCUGAGGGAAACAAUUGAAAUCUAUGAAGAAUUUCAGAGCUAUAGAGUAAAACUAAACAAGAAUUAUUAUUGUAUUGCUAAAUGAGAAUGAAUGUGUAAUAAAGAAGACAAGUAAUGUAAAUAUGAUGAAAGUAAAAAUACACGAUUAGUAAACACCAAACAUUUAGCUAAUGAUGAAUAAGUUUUGGUAGACAAGUCACUUCAAAAAGGAUUACAGUGUAUUCAGUCCUUAGUAAUUGAAUUUUCAUUUUUCCUCAAUCCUCUCGAUGCAAUCCAUACACAGGCAACUUCAGUGUAAUUAGACGAUCGAAAUGAACUAGUAGAAUAUCUAAGAAAGAGAAUUCUUAAACAAGUCCUACUGGGUUAGGUUAGAAUAACUAUAACUAUGGCUCUAGAUAAAUAUCAGAGGUUUAUAAGAUAAAAUAGUAUGCAAGUCACUGUAGAGUAUCUUGAGAGAAGGUUUUAAACAUGCUUGCAGACAUCGAAUAAUAAAUGCAUGGUAGGCUUACGGACAUGUCUAGAAUCAUCCGGUGCAAUGCUUUCAACCAACUUUGGCCCGGAUGAAAGAAACCCACGUCCUAGAGGACUGUAAGCAACAAUUCCAAUGCCAAGUUCCCUGAGCAGAGCAACCACCAAAAUUGCGUUAGCAUGCAAAUGUUAAAUCAUCUACUCAUAAUUUCUUUUCCUUUCAACUAGGUCAAAACAAUUCAUUUGGCCCAAAUAAUGUCUUACCUGCAAGUAGGAACAAUCUCUUCCUCCACAUCUCGUGACCACAAGGACCAUUCCAACUGCACAGCUGUUAUUGGAUGGACGGCGUGAGCUCGUCUAAUUGUUGAAGCAGAAGCCUCGGAUAGACCUAUAUACUUUAUUUUACCCUCUUCAACUAGUUUCUUGAGUUCCCCAAUCUUACAAAACAACACAAGUAAAAGAAUUAGUACAUGAUAACAGAAACCUCACCCACCGAAGUGACCCAUGUCUGUAUUUUUAAAUAUUCUGUGUUUCAUGUUCAUUGGCAGCCGAGCUACCCAGAGACUAACAGACUAAUAUAGUUUAACAUGCAUGAUUGAGACAAAUAUAUAAAUUAAAAGCGACAAACCGUGACUUCAAUGGGGACUUUAGUGUCAAUGCGAUGUUGGUAAUAAAGAUCAAUACAGUCAACAUCCAGACGCUUCAAGCUGGCCUCACAUGCAGCUCUUACAUAAGCAGGAUCCCCACAGAAUGAGUACUGGCCAUCCUCAUAUCUGAUACCAAAUUUAGUAGCCAAUUCAACUCUUCCUCUGUACCCUCCUUUCAGAGCCUAAUCCCAAAACCAAAUUAAUCAAAGUGAAUAUAUUAUUAUUUGCCAAUUCCAAACAUACCCUUUUGAAAUUAAAGGAAGGAAAUAGAAGAUAAAUUACAUUACCUUGCCCAGAAGGAUUUCAUUUGUGUGAGGUCCGUAAGCAUCGGAAGUGUCAAGUAAAGUGAUGCCACUGUCAAUGGCAUGGUGGAUCAAGGCUAUCAUAUCGGAUUCGGGCUUCGGGGGCCCGUAGAAGGCGGACAUGCCCAUGCAUCCUAAGCCUUGCGCUGAAACCUCUAGACCUUGUGAACCCAGCUUGAUUCUCUUCACUGCCCCCGCCAUUUCUCUUCUAUUAGCCUCUCAACUUUCUGUUGAGUGAGGUUGCUGUUUCUAAGCGAACAAUCUAUAUAUGUAGAUAUAUUGCUCUGCGGGCCUCUCAAAACUCGUAAUGCUAACGUAAUGGAAUAUGUUAGCAUUUACCUCAUUAACUUUACAAAAUCACACAAGAGAGUAGUUAGAUAAAUAAUCGAUACGUCAUAAUGUUAUUUAUUAAUUAUAGAAAAAAUGACAAACACAACUCUAACAUUUAGAUAAAGGGAUAAAAAUGUCUCUAACGUUUUGAAAAAGAAAUUUACACCUCUAUUCACUAAUGAAAACAAUUACUUUUAACGAAAAUAGUAAUUUUAAUAUAUAAUUACCGUUAUACUAUUUUAGCACAUAAAAAUAUAAUUAUUAAUUAUCUGAUUUGUCCAUAUAUUGUUAAUAAAAUUACAAAAAUACUCUCAUUGACCAAUUCCUCUAUUUAAUUUUUUAUCAAAUUAUCUCUUCAAGCCAAAUAAAUUUAAUCCAUUAUCAAUUUUUAUGUCUAUUGGAUAUGUUAUUUAAUACAAUUAAGAUAAGAUUUUUGUAAUUAUUGUUGUAACCAGCCCUUUUUAUUUUAUUUUGUUGAUUAUACAAGUUAAAAUGAUUGACAUGUAGAGAAUUGUUAUUCUUAUGGCAUUAAUAACUAAUUUUAUUUAUUUUUAUUCUUGAGUAAUGGAUUAAAUUUAUUUGGCUUGAUGAGAGAAUUUGAUAAAAAUUUAAACAAUUAUUUGAGCAAUGAGGGUAUAUUUAUAAUUUUAUUAACAAUAUAUGGACAAAUUGGACAAUUAACAAUUAUUUUUUUAUGUGUUAGAACGGUAUAACGGUAAUUAUCUAUUAAAAUUACUAUUUUCGUUAAAAAUAAUUGUUUCUAUUAGUGAAUGGGGACGUAAAUAUCUUUUUUAAAAUGUUAGAAAAUUUUUAUCCCUAUGUCUAAAUAUUGAGGGUGUGUUAGUCAUUUUCCCUUAAUUAUAUUACUGGCAUAAUGCUUCACAAAUAUUUUAAAAUCUUUCCAAUCGAACAAUUAAAAGUUGGCCCAAACUGGCGGCUAAGGGCUGUCAAAUUAACAAGAUGUGGGAGUAUGAUUUUAUCAUAUCAUGAUAAUGGAAGCACUUGAGAAGCCAGGUCUUUCAUGGGACCAAAAGAAAUAUUGGCUUCUACUCAAGUUGGUUGCUUCCUUGGCUUGAGACCUGUAAAGCUGGAACUUGUUCAACAAAGACUUGGCAAAAUCCAUUGCCUUUAAUCUGUUUUUAACAUAAAGUAUAAUAACAUGGCCAGUGGCAAAUUGGGAAUGUCAACUAGUAUCCACUAUUUAUUUGAUUAUUUCUAUGAUUUUAAGAUCUGCCCUUGGAAUCUGGACUUUGUGGUGCUGGAUGUAUUUGAUUAUAUAAAUGUACUAAUAUCGCUCUCAUGAGAUGAUUACUGAAUUUGAGUGGACCAAAAAAGUUAAAAGAUUAAUAAAUUAAUUAAAUUGGAGAUUUGGAGUCAUAAUCAAGUGUUUGCAUGGUGGUCGUGGAAAUAUUUUGGAUCCCACCGUGGAUUUACAAUAUAAAUGUUGAAGGCGCUGUUGAUCCCACUGUCCCACAUGGCAUGACUUUGCAACAUCUCAUCUGCUUUAUAUUAGAAAUCCUAGAAAUUAACCAGAUGUGGGAGUAAUAAUAAUUCUCCACUAAAAAAGCCAAAUCCAGGGCUGCGCCGGCUUCGCCUGCACCACGAGCAAAGGCCCACUUAUUUGCGUCACCCAUUACAGCAUCUGAUAUGGAUUAAACCCAAACACUUAAAGUAGGAUUUAGUUCAAAAAGUUUUAAUUUAAGUUGGAGUAUUUAUUUUUCUUUUUUUUCAAUGUUUAUAAUGAGGUUCAACAUUUAAAAUAAACAACAUAUUACUAUUAUUUUUAAAAUUUAAGAGGAAAAAUAGAAUUUGAGUUUUUGAGAAUGAAAUAUAUAGAGAAAUAAAAUUAUAUGGCUAUUGAAAUUUGAACCAAGUCUCUAAAAUCACUAAAAAGCACAAUUAUCACUAAAUUAUAAGUAUUUUGUUAUAUAAAAAAUAUGCCCAAAUUCUUUUUAUUUAAUUUUUUUAGAAAGAGCUCAGGGUACAUUUUAAAGGAAAAGUAAUGGUCUAGGAAAGGCUUCAUAAUUGCCCAGGAGGAGCCGCCCAUGACUGUCACUAUCUUUCAAAAAAUUUUGACAAAAAAAAGUAAUUUUUAUUUUUUUUUUGUGAAGCUUAAGGCCCUAUUUGGUAUUGUUUUCCAAAUGUUGUUUUCUUGAAAUAAAAAUAAGAAUGAAAAUGUUAUUUUUAAAUUUUAAAAUAUAUUUAGUAUCAUUUUUGAAUACUUAUCUAGUAUUUUCUGAAUUUAGAAAAUAAAAAAUUAGAUUUGAAAACAAUAUUGUACGCACCCUAAUAUUUAAAUUAUCUCUUUUGAACUAUCUGGCUCUAUAGCAAUUUGUAAGAGAAAUAUUGUCUUUUGAUCAUUCUAUUAUCUUAGAACUAGGGUCUAAGGUCAUGUUUGGUAUUGAAGUACUGCACCUUUUGAGUUACAAUUGUUAUGAAAAAAAUAUUGUAACUAUAAAGUAAAAGUUAAUAGUAUGUAAUAAAUAUAAUUUUUAAAUAAUAAUUUUUUAAAAAUUAGUAAAGAUAUAAUAAAUUUUUCAUCAUACAAAUAUAAAAUCAAAUCAACUUAGUUUUCAAGCUAUACCGGCCAGUGUUUACCAAAUACUUUAAUGCUAUUCUUUUUACCAAAUACUUUAGUGCUAUUCUUUUUACACUAUAGUCGUUCAACCUCAAUCCCAAAUAGGACAUAAGUAUGAAAAUCACUCGAUGAAUAAUCUUUUAAGUAUUUGAGUGAGAUAUUAUAGUGAUUUUUUUUUUCUAAAUACUUGAAAAUUAAUCUAAUCUGUAAUGAAAUUCUUGCAGACUUCUUGUCGUAACUAUAUUGUCAAUAAUGAUAGUCACAUGCUUACAAAUUUUUUAUGUGUUUUUUAAAGGAUGGGUAAAAUCCAAAUCAAUUUUUUUCUUAUAAUCUUUGUAGGAUUCGAACUCCAAUAGUCAGUCAAAUGAAACUAAUUAAAAACUGGUUAAAUCAAGUGCUUACAUGUAAUAACUAAAAUUAUAGAGAACUUAUAAAUACUUUUGCCCAGAAGGAUUUCAUUUGUGUGAGGUCCGUAAGAAUCGGAAGUGUCAAGUAAAGUGAUGCCACUGUCAAUGGCAUGGUGGAUCAAGGCUAUCAUAUCGGAUUCGGGCUUCGGGGGCCCGUAGAAGGCGGACAUGCCCAUGCAUCCUAAGCCUUGCGCUGAAACCUCUAGACCUUGUGAACCCAGCUUGAUUCUCUUCACUGCCCCCGCCAUUUCUCUUCUAUUAGCCUCUCAACUUUCUGUUGAGUGAGGUUGCUGUUUCUAAGCGAACAAUCUAUAUAUGUAGAUAUAUUGCUCUGCGGGCCUCUCAAAACUCGUAAUGCUAACGUAAUGGAAUAUGUUAGCAUUUACCUCAUUAACUUUACAAAAUCACACAAGAGAGUAGUUAG
RNAcentral lists this long non-coding RNA (20240 nucleotides) under Citrus maxima (pomelo). Its description in RNAcentral is "long non-coding RNA (CMAX_LNC000254)". Lineage: Eukaryota; Viridiplantae; Streptophyta; Magnoliopsida; Sapindales; Rutaceae. The record is from RNAcentral.